RNAcentral lists this unclassified non-coding RNA (233 nucleotides) under rhizosphere metagenome. RNAcentral describes it as "partial ribosomal RNA internal transcribed spacer region". The record is from RNAcentral.
GUAGGUGAACCUGCGGAAGGAUCAUUAAAUGAAGCAACCUAGGAGCCUGAGAUAUGGCCACCGGGCACACCUUCCACCCUUUGUUUAUCACACUUUGUUGCUUUGGCAGGCCUGCCUUCGGGCUGCUGGCUCCGGCCGGCGAGCGCCUGCCAGAGGACCCAAACUCUGUUUGUCUGUAACGUCUGAGUACUAUAUAAUAGUUAAAACUUUCAACAACGGAUCUCUUGGUUCUG